GAUGAACGCUAGCGGCAGGCUUAACACAUGCAAGUCGAGGGGCAACACGGGUAGCAAUACCUGGUGGCGACCGGCGCAAGGGUGCGUAACGCGUGAGCAACAUACCCUAUACAGGGGGAUAAUCCAGGGAAACUUGGUCUAAUAUCCCAUAGGAUUUACAGAUGUCAUCAUCUAUAAAUUAAAGCUUCGGUGGUAUAGGAUUGGCUCGCGUGACAUUAGCUAGAUGGUGGGGUAACGGCCUACCAUGGCCAUGAUGUCUAGGGGUUCUGAGAGGAAGACCCCCCCAACUGGGACUGAGACACGGCCCAGACUCCUACGGGAGGCAGCAGUGAGGAAUAUUGGACAAUGGAUGGAAAUACUGAUCCAGCCAUGCCGCGUGCAGGAAGACGGCCCUAUGGGUUGUAAACUAGCUUUAUUAUGGAGCAAUAAAGGUCUACGCGUAGACCGAUGAGAGGUACCAUAUGAAUAAAGCAUCGGCUAA
Molecule: ribosomal RNA, 481 nt
Filed under: uncultured bacterium
Lineage: Bacteria
Description: bacterial SSU rRNA
Rfam family: Bacterial small subunit ribosomal RNA
Source: RNAcentral